CCUACGGGUGGCUGCAGUGGGGAAUAUUGGACAAUGGGCGAAAGCCUGAUCCAGCCAUGCCGCGUGUGUGAAGAAGGCCUUCGGGUUGUAAAGCACUUUCAGUGGGGAAGAAAGCCUUGGGGCUAAUACCCUCGAGGAAGGACAUCACCCACAGAAGAAGCACCGGCUAACUCCGUGCCAGCAGCCGCGGUAAUACGGAGGGUGCGAGCGUUAAUCGGAAUUACUGGGCGUAAAGCGCGCGUAGGCGGUCUGAUAAGCCGGUUGUGAAAGCCCCGGGCUCAACCUGGGAACGGCAUCCGGAACUGUCAGGCUAGAGUGCAGGAGAGGAAGGUAGAAUUCCCGGUGUAGCAGUGAAAUGCGUAGAGAUCGGGAGGAAUACCAGUGGCGAAGGCGGCCUUCUGGACUGACACUGACGCUGAGGUGCGAAAGCGUGGGUAGCAAACAGGAUUAGAUACCCGUGUAGUC
This 465-nucleotide ribosomal RNA is filed under the name Vreelandella stevensii. RNAcentral describes it as "partial 16S ribosomal RNA". It matches the Rfam family "Bacterial small subunit ribosomal RNA", at positions 338 to 795 of the family's 1533-position model. The record is from RNAcentral. Lineage: Bacteria; Pseudomonadati; Pseudomonadota; Gammaproteobacteria; Oceanospirillales; Halomonadaceae.